Molecule: transfer RNA, 83 nt
Filed under: Achromobacter xylosoxidans
Lineage: Bacteria; Pseudomonadati; Pseudomonadota; Betaproteobacteria; Burkholderiales; Alcaligenaceae
Description: tRNA-Pro(ggg)
Source: RNAcentral
GGUGGUCAUGGCGCGGAACGCCGCGCGCACCAUACCGGGAAUCUGGUCGGCGCGAUCGAUGGUUCGGUUCCAUUUGGUCAGCG